This 430-nucleotide ribosomal RNA is filed under the name bacterium S4A-223-16S. RNAcentral's name for it is "bacterial SSU rRNA". It matches the Rfam family "Bacterial small subunit ribosomal RNA", at positions 61 to 507 of the family's 1533-position model. The record is from RNAcentral.
GUCGAACGAUGAACCACUUCGGUGGGGAUUAGUGGCGAACGGGUGAGUAACACGUGGGCAAUCUGCCCUGCACUCUGGGACAAGCCCUGGAAACGGGGUCUAAUACCGGAUACUGAUCAUCUUGGGCAUCCAAGGUGUUCGAAAGCUCCGGCGGUGCAGGAUGAGCCCGCGGCCUAUCAGCUUGUUGGUGAGGUAGUGGCUCACCAAGGCGACGACGGGUAGCCGGCCUGAGAGGGCGACCGGCCACACUGGGACUGAGACACGGCCCAGACUCCUACGGGAGGCAGCAGUGGGGAAUAUUGCACAAUGGGCGAAAGCCUGAUGCAGCGACGCCGCGUGAGGGAUGACGGCCUUCGGGUUGUAAACCUCUUUCAGCAGGGAAGAAGCGAAAGUGACGGUACCUGCAGAAGAAGCGCCGGCUAACUACGUG